Molecule: ribosomal RNA, 508 nt
Filed under: Penicillium sp. BJ26
Lineage: Eukaryota; Fungi; Ascomycota; Eurotiomycetes; Eurotiales; Aspergillaceae
Description: eukaryotic LSU rRNA
Rfam family: 5.8S ribosomal RNA (bases 140-292)
Source: RNAcentral
GUUUAUUUUACCUUGUUGCUUCGGCGGGCCCGCCUUAACUGGCCGCCGGGGGGCUUACGCCCCCGGGCCCGCGCCCGCCGAAGACACCCUCGAACUCUGUCUGAAGAUUGUAGUCUGAGUGAAAAUAUAAAUUAUUUAAAACUUUCAACAACGGAUCUCUUGGUUCCGGCAUCGAUGAAGAACGCAGCGAAAUGCGAUACGUAAUGUGAAUUGCAAAUUCAGUGAAUCAUCGAGUCUUUGAACGCACAUUGCGCCCCCUGGUAUUCCGGGGGGCAUGCCUGUCCGAGCGUCAUUUCUGCCCUCAAGCACGGCUUGUGUGUUGGGCCCCGUCCUCCGAUCCCGGGGGACGGGCCCGAAAGGCAGCGGCGGCACCGCGUCCGGUCCUCGAGCGUAUGGGGCUUUGUCACCCGCUCUGUAGGCCCGGCCGGCGCUUGCCGAUCAACCCAAAUUUUUAUCCAGGUUGACCUCGGAUCAGGUAGGGAUACCCGCUGAACUUAAGCAUAUCAAU